AUGAAUCUAAUAAGUUGGAACUGCCGGGGUGGGGGGAAUACCCGGACAGUUCGAGAAGUGGCGACUUUCGUCAAGUCGCAUUCCCCCGUUUUAGUUUUUUUAUGUGAAACAAGGCAGCCAAAAGAUAAAAUGAAGAAACACCGGGCAAAGUUUGGCUUGAAGGGUUUUGACGGAGUUGAUAGCAUUGGCAACAGUGGUGGUUUGGCUUUAUAUUGGCAUGAACCUAUUGAGGUGAAGGUUGUGCUUGCAAGUCAGAGAUGCAUUGAUGCACAUGUAAAACUUGGGCCUGAUGAGGAGACUUGGCGUCUCACCUGUGUCUAUGGAGAACUAAGAGUGGAGGAUAGACACAAAAUGUGGACUCUUCUUACUGAUUUAAGUACCCAGUCUAGUUUGCCAUGGUUUGUGGUAGGAGAUUUCAAUGAGUGCCUGUGGGAUUUUGAGCAUUUCUCUCUGGCGCCUAGACCUGAAGCACAGAUGCAAGCAUUUCGAGACUCUCUUGAAAUAUGUGAACUUGCAGACUUGGGUUUCUCGGGAGUCCCACACACCUAUGAUAAUAAGAGAAGCGGCAAUAGCAAUGUGAAAGCACGACUAGAUCGGGCGGUUGCAUCCCCUAGCUGGCGCAACUGUUUUGAGCACCCACCUGCGUCGGACCAUGUGGCGCUGCAUGUAUGA
RNAcentral lists this ribosomal RNA (672 nucleotides) under Triticum aestivum (bread wheat). RNAcentral describes it as "partial small subunit ribosomal RNA". Lineage: Eukaryota; Viridiplantae; Streptophyta; Magnoliopsida; Poales; Poaceae. The record is from RNAcentral.